CCUACGGGAGGCAGCAGUGGGGAAUAUUGCACAAUGGGGGAAACCCUGAUGCAGCGACGCCGCGUGAGCGAUGAAGUAUUUCGGUAUGUAAAGCUCUAUCAGCAGGGAAGAAACUGACGGUACCUGACUAAGAAGCCCCGGCUAACUACGUGCCAGCAGCCGCGGUAAUACGUAGGGGGCCAGCGUUAUCCGGAUUUACGGGGCGUAAGGGGAGCGUAGGCGGCGAUGCAAGCCAGAUGGGAAAGCCCGGGGCUCAACCCCGGGACUGCAUUUGGAACUGGAUAGCUGGAGUGUCGGAGAGGCAGGCGGAAUUCCUAGUGUAGCGGUGAAAUGCGUAGAUAUUAGGAGGAACACCAGUGGCGAAGGCGGCCUGCUGGACGAUGACUGACGUUGAGGCUCGAAAGCGUGGGGAGCAAACAGGAUUAGAUACCCCUGUAGUC
This 440-nucleotide ribosomal RNA is filed under the name uncultured bacterium. Its description in RNAcentral is "partial 16S ribosomal RNA". It matches the Rfam family "Bacterial small subunit ribosomal RNA", at positions 338 to 795 of the family's 1533-position model. The record is from RNAcentral.